Molecule: long non-coding RNA, 1431 nt
Filed under: Homo sapiens (human)
Lineage: Eukaryota; Metazoa; Chordata; Mammalia; Primates; Hominidae
Description: HSALNT0079753
Source: RNAcentral
UGGUGGGGCAGCCCUUCACACAGUCAUUCAAGACUCAGGAUAAUGAACAUUCUGUCAUUCUUAAUAAGGCUUCCAAGAUUCUGCUUUGUACAUUGACCUGGUUUCCAUUUUAACUUGUAUGCAUUUUCUACUAGAUAAAAACUUGGAGCUAAAGCAGCUGUCAACCUGGAAGUACCAAUGGACACUGACAAAACAAUAAACAAAUCUCCAACAAAAGCCUGUUCUCUCUAGCCAAAAAUCCAAGACAGUCUUGAGAAGACUAGUAAGACAGAAAACUUUUAGACAAUAACAGCUCUACUCCAGCCAGCCACAACAACAAUAACAAAAAAACUGUGGCUCUACCCCACCCAUGGCAAAAGCCAAGUGGGGAAGCCAAGCUUUCCACUCAUGCCUGACUGUGACAAGGCACUCACCCUUCCUUCCAGGGUAACGUCUGGGAAAGCUGAGUAAGGAAUUGGUAGUUUCAUUCUCACUGGGUGGUAAGGAGUCCACCUUACUGUUAGCAGAGUCCACAUGACUUUAGUAGUGUUGGUAGUUGUGGUGGUAUUAUUAGUAGAGGCCAUUUAGGGAGCCAUGACAAGGCACUCAUAUCCAUCGCAGUCAGUGAGUUACCAGCAGACACCUCGUGUGGAGUUGGAAGUCCCAACCCUAGCAGUUGGAGACAGACUCCCUGCUACAACUUGAGAGUCAACAGAGGCCAAAUAAGGAACCUGGAGACCUGGGCAUUUAUCCCACAGAAACGGAACUUAUACCCACCCAAAAGGUUACCCAAAAAUAUGUGUAGUAGUUUUAAUUAUAGUAGUCAGUAACUGGAAACAAUCCAGAUGUCCUUCAAAAAGUGAAUGGUUAAGCAAACUGUGGUACUUCCAUUUCUUGGGAAAUUACUCAGUAAUUUAAAAAAAAUUGUUAAUGCAACAACCUAGAUGACUAUUCAGAGAUUUGUGCUGAGUGAAAAAAGCAAUCCCAAAAGGUUGUAUCUUGUAAUUCCAUUUAUGUAUUUUUCCUGAAAUGACAAAACUGCAGAAAUGUAGAACAAAUUAGUGGCUGCCAGGUGUUAAGGAGAAGGUGAAGAUAAGAGAAAAAUGUGUGCAGCUAUAAAAGUGCAACAUGAGGGAUCCUUGUGGUAGUGAAACUAUUCGGUAUCUUGCUUAUAUCAAUGUCAGCAUGUUACUUGUGAUUUUGUGGUGUUUGAUUUUUUUGGCGUUGUUAUAGUUUUUCCAUUGGUGGAUAUUGGGUGAAUAGCCCAUGAGAUAUAUCUGUAUUAUUUCUUCCAACUGCAUGUGAAUCUACAAUUAUCUAAAAAUUAAAAUUUUAAUUAAAAAUGGAGCUAAUUGGGUGUUUUUUCUAUUUUUCAAAAAGUAUCAUUAUAGGUAUUGAUUAGAAGUUAGAACCUGGAGGAGGACCAAAUAGGAGACCAAAAUUAAAUUAUCA